Molecule: ribosomal RNA, 441 nt
Filed under: uncultured bacterium
Lineage: Bacteria
Description: bacterial SSU rRNA
Rfam family: Bacterial small subunit ribosomal RNA
Source: RNAcentral
GACGAACGCUGGCGGCGUGCUUAACACAUGCAAGUCGAGCGGUAAGGCCCUUUCGGGGGUACACGAGCGGCGAACGGGUGAGUAACACGUGGGUGACCUGCCCUCAGCUCUGGGAUAAGCCCGGGAAACUGGGUCUAAUACCGGAUAUGACUCCAUGACGCAUGUUGUGGGGUGGAAAGCCUUGUGCGGCUGAGGAUGGGCCCGCGGCCUAUCAGCUUGUUGGUGGGGUGAUGGCCUACCAAGGCGACGACGGGUAGCCGGCCUGAGAGGGCGACCGGCCACACUGGGACUGAGACACGGCCCAGACUCCUACGGGAGGCAGCAGUGGGGAAUUGUUCACAAUGGGCGCAAGCCUGAUGACGCAACGCCGCGUGGGGAUGAAGGUCUUCGGAUCGUAAACCCCUGUCGAAUGGGACGAAAGACUCGUGAGUUAAUACUUUG